Molecule: long non-coding RNA, 601 nt
Filed under: Mus spicilegus (steppe mouse)
Lineage: Eukaryota; Metazoa; Chordata; Mammalia; Rodentia; Muridae
Description: lncRNA (ENSMSIG00000020344.1)
Source: RNAcentral
CAGCCCUUCACGGUCCAUUGUUUCUGUUUUUUCCUGAAAGGUCUCUGCUCCCUCAAUCUUGGUGUCUGUCCUCAUUGUCUUGUAGGCAUUUCCAUUUGGGCCACAGUAGCCAAGUCUUGUAUAACUGGAUUGGCUCUUGAGAGAAGAGAGUGGCUUAUUAUAAACCAAGGCCUGCUCCUUCGCAUCUGCUUUCUUGCCUGUGUCCUUGCACGCCCACAUCUCUGCUAUGUACCAAUGCAGGCAGGAGGCCUUGGCUACAUUCAAGUGACAUGCUGUUUGGACAAAAACAAACCCAGUGACAACUGUGAUGUGGUUUUCUGUAGAUCUAGUAAGACAGUGCACAAGCAAGCUCUUCCCUGUCUAAGAACAAGUAUUUAUCCUGAGUUUGCUGGCCACGUGGGUGUGGAUCUCAAGAAGCACAAAGCUAGGGUCACCCAGGAAGUCAUUUCUCCCAUAGCUAGCUUAACAGGAAGUUGAUGCUCUGAGUGAGACUGACAUCACCUCCAUCACCCCCACUUACAGAUGUAGAAGUGGCAUCAUGAAGAAGUCACUUGGGUAAGAUCAUUUAAUUGUUGUAUCAGUUAUUUUUUCUACUGUUGUG